GACAGAGGGUGCAAACGUUGUUCGGAAUUACUGGGCGUAAAGCGUGUGUAGGCGGCCAAGCAAGUCGGAUGUGAAAGCCCCAGGUUUAACUUGGGAAGUGUAUUUGAUAUUGUUUGGUUUGAGUAUCGGAGAGGUUGGUGGAAUUCUCGGUGUAGAGGUGAAAUUCGUAGAUAUCGAGAGGAACACCGGUGGCGAAGGCGGCCAACUGGACGAAUACUGACGCUGAGACACGAAAGCGUGGGGAGCAAACAGG
This 253-nucleotide ribosomal RNA is filed under the name uncultured Byssovorax sp. Its description in RNAcentral is "partial 16S ribosomal RNA". It matches the Rfam family "Bacterial small subunit ribosomal RNA", at positions 524 to 776 of the family's 1533-position model. The record is from RNAcentral. Lineage: Bacteria; Pseudomonadati; Myxococcota; Polyangiales; Polyangiaceae.